This 253-nucleotide ribosomal RNA is filed under the name uncultured bacterium. RNAcentral describes it as "partial 16S ribosomal RNA". It matches the Rfam family "Bacterial small subunit ribosomal RNA", at positions 524 to 776 of the family's 1533-position model. The record is from RNAcentral.
UACGAAGGGGGCUAGCGUUGCUCGGAAUCACUGGGCGUAAAGCGCACGUAGGCGGCUUCUUAAGUCAGGGGUGAAAUCCUGGAGCUCAACUCCAGAACUGCCUUUGAUACUGAGGAUCUUGAGUUCGGGAGAGGUGAGUGGAACUGCGAGUGUAGAGGUGAAAUUCGUAGAUAUUCGCAAGAACACCAGUGGCGAAGGCGGCUCACUGGCCCGAUACUGACGCUGAUGCACGAAAGCGUGGGGAGCAAACAGG